RNAcentral lists this ribosomal RNA (485 nucleotides) under uncultured bacterium. Its description in RNAcentral is "partial 16S ribosomal RNA". It matches the Rfam family "Bacterial small subunit ribosomal RNA", at positions 30 to 507 of the family's 1533-position model. The record is from RNAcentral.
AUUGAACGCUGGCGGCAGGCCUAACACAUGCAAGUCGAGCGGAUGAAGGGAGCUUGCUCCUGGAUUCAGCGGCGGACGGGUGAGUAAUGCCUAGGAAUCUGCCUGGUAGUGGGGGAUAACGUCCGGAAACGGGCGCUAAUACCGCAUACGUCCUGAGGGAGAAAGUGGGGGAUCUUCGGACCUCACGCUAUCAGAUGAGCCUAGGUCGGAUUAGCUAGUUGGUGGGGUAAAGGCCUACCAAGGCGACGAUCCGUAACUGGUCUGAGAGGAUGAUCAGUCACACUGGAACUGAGACACGGUCCAGACUCCUACGGGAGGCAGCAGUGGGGAAAUAUUGGACAAUGGGCGAAAGCCUGAUCCAGCCAUGCCGCGUGUGUGAAGAAGGUCUUCGGAUUGUAAAGCACUUUAAGUUGGGAGGAAGGGCAGUAAGUUAAUACCUUGCUGUUUUGACGUUACCAACAGAAUAAGCACCGGCUAACUUCGUG